GUUAUUUAAGUAAAAUUUGACAUAGCCCUUGAGCAUAUUUGUUGUUUAGUGUUAUUCAAGUAAAGUGUGCAUAGCCCUGGAGUCCAUAAACAUACGUGCAAUAAGUUUUGAAACCAUUGCAACCUUUAAUAUUCGAGACUUGGAAAGAAGUUGAAGCAGAAGCAGCUGCAGUUCAGGUUAACACAGACUGUGUAAUAAAAAAAAUGGUGAAUAAAUAUGCCUUACUGGUGGUUUAAUAGUUGAUGGGGAUGGAAGAGCGGAUUCCCCAGGUCACUGUGCUAAAUUUGGCACAUAUACAAUAAUUAAUUUACGAAACAACAAAUUUAUUGCUCUAAAUCUUGUUAGCUGAUUAUACUGUGUUUUCUAAAUUUGGCACAUAUACAAUAAUGAAUUUACGAAACAACAAAUUUAUUGCUCUAAAUCUUGUUAGCUGAUUAUACUGUGUUUUCAGAGUAAUGAAGUGGCCAACAGCAAAUGCCAUGGAAAAAGAAGGUUUCUUGAGCAGUAUUGAAAAUAUAAAAAGCUAAGAAUUGGUUAUUCAAGUCAUUGUGACUGACAGGGCACCCGGAAAUUAUAAAAUACAUACGUGAAGUCAAUAAAACAUUAUUUUGAUGUCUGGCAUGUUGCAAAAGGUAUGUUGAAAAAUGACAACGGUAAUUCCCCAGUUGUGUGUAUGCCAGGCGAGACAAUUGCCACAUGCCAAUAACGCGUUUUUUAUUGUUUUGCUACACGUGUUUUCCUGUGCCGUACAAACCUCAUACAUCUAUGUGCAAUCUUGUUGUGGAGUUGAAUAGAGUGUGCGUCGGGGCAAUUAGGAACAGCGUCGUCGCGAGGCUGCAUAACGUGAACUCGCAAAACAACUUAUAAGCUGCCCCCCACAAAUUUAACAUGACUGACUUCUGUGUUUCUUAAUAUAUAGAGCAAAAAUUGUUAACAUUUUACUAUUUCAUAUUUGUUACAGGUUACAAGUAAACCAGGGAGAAAUAACUUUGAAAAAUUAGCUUACUCUAAUUGUCCAGCCUCUUUUCAAGUCAGUAUGGAUGGAAUCUCAUUUGCAAGUGGUCAUUUUUCACUCUCAAAUGAACUUAUUUUAUCGCUGGGAAAACAGCACAAGAAAAAAUAGAAAGCUGGCUAAAGUACUUGGUGAUGAUGAGGCACAGCCACCUGCCUUACGAGCACAGCCUUAGAUGAAAGCAAAAGCGCCAAACGGUUGUGUGGAUUGGAAUCAUGUGCAAGAAAAUGCAUAAGAAGAAUGCAAUACGAUAUCCUGGCUUUAGAAGAGUAUAAAAAAAACAGUCCCGACAUGGUUCAUGCAAUUUCACUGAUAAAAAAAAACUUAUUUAGCACAGCGAACACAGAUCAACGAAAAUGAGGUUGUUAAGAAGGUUUUGGAAAAGUGGCCAUUUCUACGGUAUCCUAUAUUUUUGCUCCAGUAUUUAUGGUACCUUGUUUUCUUUAUAAAUAAAGAAGACGUGACAGAUUUGCCCUGUGACAUGGCAAGACGAAGUGUAGACGUCUACAGAGUUUUAAAAUUGUAGAAAUAAGCAAACAGUUGUUUCGACCAUUGACAAAAUUCAACGUGAAUGUAUGCUUACCGAAGUCAACAGAAAUAAUCAAUUUCACAUUUGAUGAAGACCACCAGUUCUGUGUUUUUUUGCAUCCAGAAUGUAUGCUGUUCUGUGUUUUUUUGCAUCCAGAAUGUAUGCUUGAUAGAAUCAGAAAUCAAUAACUGCAUACUGUGUGUACUAAGAGGUUCUUGUUGCCGUGGUAAAUAUUAUGAUCGCUAAUAGUAAUCUUUACAAAAUGUUAAUAAAGUAAUGUAUUUUGGCAGUUCUCUUGCAACUAGUGAGAAGUUUAAGCUGGUUGUUUUGAAGACCAGUGCUUUUGGAUUGCGAUGAUUUUUUCCUGGGAUAAACCCGCAUGUUUUUGUCUUUAUUAUAACUUCAACAUGGAGUAUCCAACAAAAGCAGUCGCAACAUUAGAAUUUAUUCAGAGGUACUUUGCAUGCAUCAACUUUAAAGGAUCAAAGUGUGCAACGUCAGGACAUCACAAGCAUGCCCACCUUAAAGUGCUCAGCCAAAGCUUUGCUUAAAGAGUAUGAUAUAUAUAUGGGCAGGCAACUGUCUAAUUUCCAUUAGAAAGAAUUGAAAUUUGGUGAUUCAAAUCACACAACAUUGCUUUCAUAUGCAAAAUCACGCAUUUACGCUGAACAUUGCCAUUUAGUAUUAUCGCUGUUAUAUUUUUGUCUUAAAAAGUGAAAUCAAGUUUUGUUUAUGAUUUUGAUCGCAAUAUUCAUUAACUAGGUAGCAUUGUCAACAUUAACUAAGUAGUAGCAUUGUCAGCAUUAA
Non-coding RNA from Ciona intestinalis (vase tunicate), 2348 nucleotides. The record is from RefSeq and is a predicted model, not a curated record. NCBI's taxonomy places the organism in Eukaryota, Metazoa, Chordata, Ascidiacea, Phlebobranchia, Cionidae.